AUGUACGUUAUUGUGAAGGGUCCCAGAGGAACCUUGCGGAGGGACUUCAACCACAUCAAUGUGGAACUCAGUCUCCUUGGAAAGAAAAAGAAGAGGCUCCGGGUUGACAAAUGGUGGGGAAAUAGAAAGGAACUGGCUACUGUUCGCACUAUUUGUAGUCACGUACAGAACAUGAUCAAGGGUGUUACACUGGGCUUCCGUUACAAGAUGAGGUCUGUGUAUGCUCACUUCCCCAUCAACGUUGUUAUCCAGGAGAAUGGGUCUCUUGUUGAAAUAAGAAAUUUCUUGGGCGAAAAAUAUAUCCGCCGGGUUCGGAUGAGGGCAGGUGUUGCCUGUUCAGUAUCUCAAGCCCAGAAAGAUGAGUUAAUCCUCCAAGGAAAUGAUAUUGAGCUUGUUUCAAAUUCAGCUGCUUUGAUUCAGCAGGCCACAACAGUUAAAAACAAGGAUAUCAGAAAAAUUUUGGAUGGUAUUUAUGUCUCUGAAAAAGGAACAGUUCAGCAGGCUGAUGAGUAAGACCUAAGAGUUUUUGGCCGGGGCUUGGUUUGAUCCCGCCACCUCCAGCAUAUGGGGCUGAUGCCCUACUCCUUUGAGCCACAGGUGCCACCCCAAAUCUCUUACUUUUAAGAACCUCCAGAAAGCUACAGUUAGAAGAAAGACCCGGAGUUUGAUAGAUGAACAGUGUCUACAGUUACCAUUAAUCUAUUGUAAUUUCAAAAUACAAGUAGUUAAAAGAGAAUAAUCCAAAUGUUCUUGGCAUAAAGAAAAGAUAAAUAUUUAAGGUGAUGGA
Molecule: RNA transcript, 787 nt
Organism: Otolemur garnettii (small-eared galago)
Lineage: Eukaryota; Metazoa; Chordata; Mammalia; Primates; Galagidae
Gene name: 60S ribosomal protein L9 pseudogene
Exons: 2
Source: RefSeq, a predicted model, not a curated record